Molecule: long non-coding RNA, 425 nt
Filed under: Brassica napus (rape)
Lineage: Eukaryota; Viridiplantae; Streptophyta; Magnoliopsida; Brassicales; Brassicaceae
Description: long non-coding RNA (BNAP_LNC023569)
Source: RNAcentral
UGACCAAAAUAGUAUUUUAUCUUUUGAAAAAUUUAAUUUUUUUUAUUUUUCAAAAUUUGAAAUCUUAUCCCAAAACCACACUCCCCAAUUCUAAACCCUAAACCCUAAAACCUAAACUCUAAACCCUAAAUCCUAAACCCCACCCCUUAACUCUAAACCCAAAACCCAAAACCCUAAACUCCACCCCUAAACUCUGAGGGAAGAGAAUGUACCUUAGGGAGAGGAGAGGAGUUUAGGAGGAAUGGACGAGGCAGCCUCGUCUCGGCGUCCCAAUAUAUAAAAAAUGUUUCGUCGUAAACGCGACGUAACAUUACGGCGAAGUUACCAGGCCCGCGUUUUUUCAUUUACGACGAAGUUACCGGGCCCGCGUUUUUCGAUUUACGACGAAAUUACGUCGAAAUGUCGGUUUACGACGAAUUUACAAG